GUAGGUGAACCUGCGGAAGGAUCAUUACAGAGAACCGGGUACCGGGCCCCCGGGCCCGCCCGACCUCCCACCCCUGUGAACAUACACCGUUGCUUCGACGGGCCCGCGCGGGCCCCGGCCGGCGAGCGCCCGUCAGAGGCCCCCCCAAACCCUCUUCAGCCGUGACGUCUGAGUACCACACAACAGUUAAAACUUUCAACAACGGAUCUCUUGGUUCUG
RNAcentral lists this unclassified non-coding RNA (219 nucleotides) under rhizosphere metagenome. Its description in RNAcentral is "partial ribosomal RNA internal transcribed spacer region". The record is from RNAcentral.